UGCGUAGGCGGACUGAUAAGUCAGUGGUGAAAUCUCUCGGCUCAACCGGGAAACUGCCAUUGAUACUGUUAGUCUUGAGUUCGGUUGAGGUAGGCGGAAUGUGUAAUGUAGCGGUGAAAUGCUUAGAUAUUACACAGAACACCAAUUGCGUAGGCAGCUUACUAGACCGACACUGACGCUGAGGCACGAAAGCGUGGGUAGCGAACAGGAUUAGAUACCCUGGUAGUCC
RNAcentral lists this ribosomal RNA (229 nucleotides) under uncultured bacterium. RNAcentral describes it as "partial 16S ribosomal RNA". It matches the Rfam family "Bacterial small subunit ribosomal RNA", at positions 568 to 796 of the family's 1533-position model. The record is from RNAcentral.